Small nuclear RNA from Nycticebus coucang (slow loris), 107 nucleotides. Lineage: Eukaryota; Metazoa; Chordata; Mammalia; Primates; Lorisidae. The record is from RefSeq and is a predicted model, not a curated record.
GUACUGGCUUUGGCAGCACAUACAAUAAAAAUGGAGCAAUACAGAGAAGAUGAGCAUGGCCCCUGCUCAAUGAUGAUGUGCAAAUCCAUGAAGUGUGCCUUAUUUUU